UUUAUAUAUACCCAAGUCAAAAACUGGGAGUAAGAGAAUUCGCGAAUUUAAAAAAACGGAAAAUCAUCGCUACUAAAAAUCCGACCCUCUACACGAUUUGAUUGGUUUGCUACAGCUUAAUGUGCAUCCUAACCCCUGAUGUAAUGGGGUAGACUUUACAAUUUGAUUGGUGUUCUAAAAAACGGGGCAUGAGCUCAUACCCAUGAUUACCCACAACAACCGAUGUUUACUCCAUACUUCAAUUGCCUAACUACGUCAUUAUCAAGUCACAACACGGUAGUUUCCUUUAAAAUGUUCCCAAGUCGGCUAUCCAGAACCAAUCAUACGCAAAAGCGAAUGUCAAAACCCCAGAAAAUAGUCAGGAGACUGCAUCAAGACAUGAUUCGAUGUAAUCUAUGACGCAGAGCACAAUUUUGAAAUACAGGAGGGAGAAGCGAGUGAAAAGUCUCAUUCAUAACGUCACGGAUGCGUGUAAAAAUUUGUGGGGCCGUGAGUUGGUCAUGGGGGUACAGUUUGAUUAUGGGGGUUAUGGGAAUAUGUAACGGAUUGGGAUGUGUGUUUUAUAUGUGUAUGAAAUGUACAUACUGUAUAAGUAGUGUAGAUAUGCUUGUUAAAGAGUUAAUCCCAACAUAUGUGAUCAUGUUAAUGGAGGCAUUGCACUGGUUUUAAGUCAGACUCUAGUUUAACUCGGACUUUGGCUUAGCGCGGACUCGGACUCGGAUUCGGAGUAGGACUUGGACGGAGAAUAGUAUAGAAUGAAAAAACUGCAAGCACGAGGUUGCAUAUGUAAUCAAUUUAGCUCUACUGCCAAACACUAGUAGAAGAUUUCAUCGCUUUUAAUCUGUCGGCCGUUUGAAUUUGCCAGAUGCAAAUGCAAGUUUAAAAUUUGCAUGGUGCUGGUUUAUUAAUUGAUAUAGGAUGAAGUGUACAGCGUAAAGGAAAGUUAUGGAUAAUUGGUAUGCUGCUUGUUUUUUUACAAAACGAUAUUUUUUAGAGUAGUAAUAAAUGAUGUGAUUUUUGAAAUUGCUUUAACUUGUCAGACAUGUCUUUCCUUUUUAAAAUAAAUUUUUCAUCAGUGGAUUUUUUUAGAGUCACUUUUAUUUCAUUUAACAUUCAUUUCUCUGUUUGUAGAAAAAUCAUGUUUGAAAAGGAACAAAUUUAUUUUCAAUAAAACUCUUUUCAUACGAUUAAUUUUUUUUUCCUUUACUUACAAUCGACUUCAAAUUCAUAAUCGAUUUCACUCUCGCAAGCGUUUUCGUCAGUUCAUUCGGCUUGUUUCAUAGUAUCGUGGCUGGUCCAAACCCAUCAUCAAACUUAACCGACUCAUUUUGUUUCAUCAGCCACUCUUUAUUCCUUGCAUCUAAUGAAUGUUUUUGCAUGAAAUGGUUUUCACUUUGUGCCACCCAACUUAGCUUUAAGAGUGCCGACCUCCUUCGUUCCACUUAUCCCCCUACAUAUAUAUAUAUAUAUAUAAAAUCUGCACUCACGGACGCAUUAGGCCGAUCGAUUCCUCCUAAAGUCUAUGUGUGCAUGAGGACAUUUUUCAGCUGGACAAAUGUUCCUAUAAAGUGGACUUAGCCGUAUUUGCCAUGGGAAACGAAUCUUCUUCUUGUCUGCUUUCCCUCUUUCAAGAAAUGAUUCAACCCGAUUUUCCUAUCGUUAGUUUGAUAUAACAAAAUGGAACGAAGUGUGCAAACAAAAUAACUUGCACUUCCUUAUUUUGACAUUUCCGAGAUAGACACUACUACAAUGCAGAACGGUUUUGUAGGUUAGGUCGGUAGGUAGGAAGAAAGGGUAUAUAGUAGAUAUAGAUGGGCUUUGUUCGUUUCUUUAGUUGAUUGAUUUAAAUGAAACGAACAAGUCCAUAUGAUGUAUGGAUAUCUGUUAAUAUGGGUUUAAACAAUUAAAUGGAAUUUCCGCCAUGUUUUUGCAUUACUCAAGCUGGAUAUAGGGAGAGAAUGAGUUUGUACGAAAUGGAACAAGAUUAGUAUGACUAUGGGACUGGAUGAACAAUUGCAACUUGUACAAUAGGCGUGAUCGAGACUAGGAUGUUGGGAAGAAUGAUAUUAUUAAUAAUGCAACGAUGAAAACACCAAAGAUCAUCCUGUUUGUUCGUUGGUUCAGCAAACAACUGGCGUAAAUCGUAACAUUUUAAGAAGUAUCAAAUAAAUUAGUAUCUCCGAUGUUGCGAUCGAGAUAAGCAAGCACUUAGGCUACAUCGAAACAAAAGUCGUUAGAGAAAGUUACUUGCAAAAUGGAUAGCAUCUCGCUUUCCCAUGGUAUCAAAUUGCAUCAAGUCUCGACUCUUGCUCAUGUAGCGUUGUCCGCUCUAUUUUUUCCCCUAAACACUUGGAUUUUAUUCAUUUAUUGGAGCAACAUUUACCUCGUCCUCGGUUACUAUUCUAGUGACCACUACUGCUGUUGUUGCUAUUCCUAGUGUUUCCUUUUUUUUCGUUCGGAUAGGAAUUUCCCGGUGUACAUUUUAUUUGGCAGCGUUUUAAACCACUAGAACCGUUGAACCGUUUCCUUCAUAACUUUUCAUCGGCCUAUGCAAGUAAAAGUCGACGGAUUCGCUACUUAGCAUCUUAUUGGGAUUGCGAAAUGAUUGUACAAUGGUGAGCACAAAUUGACUCAUUGUUGUACACAAAUCUUCGUACUUUUGUUACUAAGUGUCCCUUUCCUUACUAUGUGCAAUUUCCACCAUCCUCGCUUCAUUUUCCUUGCCCAUCCUCACACUCACCUCCAACGUUAAUAUGUAAAGUUUCGUAA
RNAcentral lists this unclassified non-coding RNA (2769 nucleotides) under Schizosaccharomyces pombe (fission yeast). RNAcentral describes it as "non-coding RNA (predicted)". Lineage: Eukaryota; Fungi; Ascomycota; Schizosaccharomycetes; Schizosaccharomycetales; Schizosaccharomycetaceae. The record is from RNAcentral.